GUGGAUGGCGAUUGCCGGCAAAUGGCAGCGGCAGCUGUGGAGGAGAAAAAGGAAUAGAGUUUCGAAGAAAUUCAAAUGGAAGAGGAGGAGGUCCAAAUCGCAUGUAUAAAUCUUCAAACGGUAUCGUUUCCUCUAUUUAUUUAUUUAUUUUGUAAAUUCACCUGAAAAAAAAGGCCCCUUAUUUUUUGUGCAGAAAUAAGUUCAUCUGAAAUUGUGAUGAUUCUAGUGAAUUAAACCAAAAAAAGAACAACUAGUUCAUUGCAUUUCAUCAAUAAUUAAUAAUGUCAAUUAUAUGCCAACAAUUAUAAGAACGAAAAACAUUCCCCUGAGUUAUAAUGAAUUAAAUCAAAAAAAGAAGAACAAAUUUUAUUUAUAAAUUAUAAAAAAUACACUCCUGUUUAUAUUAGUUUCUGUGAUACCAAAUACACUCCUGUUUAAUAAAUGGACAAAUUGUUGCAUUUCAUCAUUAAUAAAUAAUAUCAAACAUGCCAGUGGUUACAAAAUAUGAAAGAUUCCAUACUUUUUUAUUUACCAAAAGAAAGAAGAACAAAUUUUAUUUACAAAAUCCAAGUUUAAAGAGUACUUCAAACAUGAAACAAAACAUAAUAAAUUGGUACUAUAAAUCUCUUAAAAAGUACCACGAAUCUUUUUAUUUCUUAGAUACAAAUAAAUUAAGCCUUAAGAGCACCUUUUUAAUAUGCGUAUAUUUGUAUUAAGUAAAAAAAAUUAAUACAAAAUAUAAUACGAAAUGGAAUACUAAGGUAGGCAAAGAGUUUGAUGUUGGGAAUUUAUUUAUUUAAAUUGCAAUAUAGAUUAUAUUUAAUGAACUUUAUCAAUCAUAUUCUUGUAUCAACUAAUAGUAUUAAACUACAAUUAAUGAAUAUUAUAUUCAUCAAUGCCAAUCAUAAUAAUAAUUACAAAGGUGAAGCAUCCUUUGAAUUAUGGUAAUAAAAAUAGAUCCAAGUUAGUUUGAAUAUUGUAUAAUAAAUAAUCUUAACAUCUUACAAUUUUUAAUGAUAUUAACUCUAUAAUCAUAAAGCAUGCCAUCAUGGAGAAAUACAAAUAAGUUUCACCAAAUCAAAUCAUUUCUCUUCAAAGUUAAGCUAUUUAAAUUUGAACAAUGGAAUUUCAAUAUAUUCAGAUAUUACUAUAAUUACAAUAACAUUAUAGAUCAUUUUACAAUCCACUGUUAGCAAAAUAAUAAUAAUAAUAAUAAUAAUAAUAAGAAAAUUUCACUAAAACUAAUAAACAAUUCAUAGAAUGACUUGAAAGGGAGCAACAAAUUAUUCAAAAAUUAAAAGUUUAAACUCAAAUGGCAUAAAAAUGAACAUUUAGGUCAUCUAAAUUUAACCAAAACACAAAAGUAUUGAUACUAUUACAAAAUAAAAGUACUCUUGGAACAAAGAAUGAUUUAUUGUUUGUGCAUUUGUAUUGAUUGGGGCAAACUAAGUUCAGAAAAAGUAUAAAAUAACAUAAAUAUUAAAUAUCACAUUUUUUUGUCUCAAUUACAUUUAUUCCUUCAAAAUAAUAUAAAUUUACAAAUCUCCCUUGAGAUUUUUAACAAUUACAAAGAGCUCUCUUUAAGUUUUAAAAAUUACAUAUACCUCCCCUAUUUUUACUAUUUAGUAACAAUGUAGGUCUAACCAACUAAAUUUUCUCUUAAAAAUUCUAAAUUGCCCUUUUGUACAAAAUUAAUAAAGAAAAAUAUACUGUACUCAAUCAUUUUCUUCCACACUUUGCACAAAUCAACAAGUCUAAUUCCUAACAACCAUCCAAACAUAAGUUCUAAAAUCAAGUAACUGUUCAAAAGAUUCCAAAUUGCAUAUACAAUAUCAAUACUUAUCACGCAAAAAAAAAAAAAGAGAAAAAAAGACAAGCCCCGUUGAUAACCAAUUUUAUACCCCCAAAAUUAAAUAUCAAAUCUCAAAUACCUUUUCAGUACAAGCUAAUUUGAUCUAGAACCACUAUUACAACCCCUCCUAUGGCCUUAAAAAUAUUAAAAUCUUAAAAUAGAGAUAAAUUCUACCUCGACAAUAAAAUCAUAAUAACAAAUUCUAAUUCAAUGAAAGAGAUCCUUAUGUAACUAUUGACAUUUUAUCAAAGUUUUUUGACAACAAGCAAAAUAUGACUAAUUUCACAUAUUUAGUUUUUCUUCCUAUUUCAAUCAUCAAUUUCAUUAUUUAUUUCUCUAUCAUUGCGAGUCUCUUCAUUUCUUUCUAAUUUGACACAUAAUCUGCUCCCUUGGUGAUUUUAUAAUUUUAAUUUGCUAAUAUUAACAAAAAUGAAGAUAAUAAAAAUAGGUUAUAUUAACUAGAAAAUAAAGGAGCGAAAAUAGACAAGAGACAAAAAAAAUAGAAUAUUUCUUUUGGGUUUUGUAAAUGUAUUGCCUUAAAUUUAAAAUUGUCUGUCAAGUGGAGGGCAUUAUAGGUAUUUUACUAUGUCAAGGGAGGUAAGUGUAAUUUCUUAAACUUAAGGGGAUUUGAGAGCAAUUGUUAGAAACCUCAAGGGAGGUUUCUGAAAUUAUCCCAAAUAAUUGAUUUUCUAAAAAUUUUAAAUCAGGUUUGAUAGGGCAUAAUUUGUUGUUAAUUUUAUGAUUAAUUUUCCUCUUUGUCCUUGUCAAAUAUUGUUUUAAUUGUUGAAAUGUACUUAUAUUUGGUAUUUGGCCUUAAUUACAGGAAGUGGAGCAAACAAGUGCUAAAAAGGAGACUUUAUUAAGAAAAACACUCCACACAUGGGAAGUUCUAAAAGGAAAUACAAGCCGGGCUCCACAGGAUGCUACAAAAAGGGAUUUCCUAUCUUUAUGCUGAAAAGGGUGGACUUGUACUAGGAGUCUUACGGGUAAAGAGGAAACUAAAAACAAGGACUUUGGCAAAGCUCCAAUUCUUUGGCCCUUGGACUCUCAAUUCAGUGGGGACCACUAGAGAUAGCAUUAGACUUUCUUUUGGCUUUAAAAAGGGAGAAACGUACAGGAGGUUUUGUUAUCAAUAGUUUUAGCUUAGCCUUUAGCAUAGUUUUAGUUUUCUUUUCUUUCUUGGCUCUUUUGAUGGCCUGGACCUCAGUUAAAUUACUUGGAGAUUUUCUCAUGAGGCGUGGC
This 3094-nucleotide long non-coding RNA is filed under the name Coffea arabica (coffee). RNAcentral describes it as "long non-coding RNA (CARA_LNC005659)". Lineage: Eukaryota; Viridiplantae; Streptophyta; Magnoliopsida; Gentianales; Rubiaceae. The record is from RNAcentral.